RNA transcript from Passer montanus (Eurasian tree sparrow), 2952 nucleotides. It is a transcript of the gene named arylsulfatase family member K, with no coding region annotated. The transcript is spliced from 14 exons. The record is from RefSeq and is a predicted model, not a curated record. Lineage: Eukaryota; Metazoa; Chordata; Aves; Passeriformes; Passeridae.
GGCCGGCGCCUUGGGCACUGUGGGAGUUGUAGGCCGCAGUGAGCGGGUAGCGUGCGGUAGGGCUUAACUUUACGCUGUGGCCAGAGACGCGGAAUCUGUUUUCGGAGCUGCUGCUCCACGGUUAGAGAGUUGGAGGCCACGGUGGCGGGGCGAUGCGAGACAGCGGGCCGCUGCGGCUAGCCGGUCUGGCGCUGCUCCUCGUGGCCUCCGGGGCGGGAACAAGGCCGCGGCCCACCACCCCCGGGGCCCAGCCCCGAUCUAAUGUUGUGUUGGUGGCCUGCGACUCCUUGGAUGGACGCUUGACAUUUUUGCCAGGAAAUCAGACUGUGGAUUUACCUUCCAUAAAUUUUAUGAAAAGACAUGGCACUGUCUUUCUCAAUGCCUACACCAAUUCUCCAAUUUGUUGUCCUUCCCGUGCAGCUAUGUGGAGUGGUCUUUUCACUCAUAUAACAGAAUCUUGGAAUAACUUCAAAGGUCUAGAUCCAGAUUAUGUAACAUGGAUGGAUCUCAUGGAGGAGCAUGGCUACCAUACGCAGAAGAUUGGGAAAUUGGACUUUACUUCUGGACAUCAUUCAGUAAGUAACCGUGUGGAAGCUUGGACUAGGGAUGUUAACUUCCUGCUCCGACAAGAAGGAAGACCCAUGGUGAAACUUACAGGCCAUAGGAAGCAGUUUAGAGUAAUGGAAACAGAUUGGCGGAACACUGACAAAGCAGUAAAUUGGAUAAAGGAAGAAGCUGUUAACUUUACUCAACCAUUCAUUCUUUACUUGGGACUAAAUUUACCACACCCGUAUCCAUCACCCUAUGCAGGAGAAAAUUUUGGAUCCUCUACAUUUUUAACAUCUCCCUAUUGGCUUGAAAAGGUAAAUUAUGAAGCUAUUAAAAUACCCAAGUGGUCUUCUCUUUCAGAGAUGCAUCCAGUAGACUAUUACUCAUCGUACACCAAGAAUUGCACAGGAGAGUUUACAAAGGAAGAAGUGAGAAAUAUUAGAGCAUUUUAUUAUGCUAUGUGUGCAGAGACAGAUGCCAUGCUGGGUGAGGUUAUUUCAGCUCUGCGAGAUACUGGGCUUCUUGGAAAAACAAUCAUUAUAUUCACUGCAGAUCAUGGAGAACUUGCUAUGGAACACCGUCAGUUCUAUAAAAUGAGCAUGUAUGAAGGAAGUUCCCACAUUCCUCUUUUAGUUAUGGGGCCAGGUUUAAGAGAACAGCACCAAAUACCAAAUGUAGUAUCUCUUGUGGAUAUCUAUCCUACUAUGCUUGAUAUAGCAAGAAUUCCUGUCCCACAGAACCUCAGUGGAUAUUCUCUUAUACCACUGCUACGUGAAAAAGCUGAGAGCGAAGCGUCACCCAGAGGACCUCGGCCCUCAUGGGUGCUGAGUGAGUUCCAUGGGUGCAAUGUCAAUUCCUCUGUGUAUAUGCUGAGAACUGGCAAGUGGAAAUACAUCACAUACUCGGAUGGCUCUUCGGUACUGCCCCAACUCUUUGACCUUACUGCUGAUCCAGAUGAGCUUACAAAUCUUGCCAUAAAAUUCCCAGUAACUGUACGUUCUUUGGACAAAAUACUUCGCUCUAUAGUAAACUAUCCAAAGGUUUCUACUUCUGUUCAAGAGUAUAAUAAACAACAGUUUAUCAGUUGGAAACAAAGUUUGGGUCAUAAUUACUCAAGUGUUAUUGCAAACCUUAGGUGGCAUCAAGACUGGUUAAAGGACCCAAAAAAGUAUGAGAAUGCAAUUGACAAGUGGCUUGGUUACAAUAGGUCCUGCUAAAAGGAUUCUACUGUCUAUAAUUGCCCCCUGAGUGCAGAAGGAAGUUUGAAUAUUUUUAAAGAAGCAAAAGCUCUUUAUUUAAACUUGGGUCAGAAUCUGUGUCAAUACCAUCUUUAUUCUUCUGUCUUUGACAGAAUUAUUAGCAUCUUUGGCCCUGGAAGAGGAAAAUGCAGUUGGUUAGUGGUGCUUGUGGGAAGUUGCUCUUAUUAUUGGGGAUGGUUGGGUGAGGUGAGUGGAGGAGAACCCAGAAGUAAUUAAGAAGUGGCUCAGGAAAGUGUGGCUCCUUGGGAGCACACUGUCAGGAAGAUUGGCACAGCAAAUUGAGAGGAUGCCUGACUCACACAAUCACUUCUGAGAGGAAGAGCCUCUUCCACUGAUUCCUAUGAGUUAUCUGCAUGAGCUCCAUGUGCUGCAAAUAUUUACCUCCUCAGUGAACUAGGUGUUGACUUAUAGCAACAGGCUUUCUAAAAAGGAAAUUUUGACUUUGAAGAAGAUGUCUGACAUUCAUUAUGGUUUUAAUAGUCUGGAGAAAAUCUGAAUGCUAUCCUGAAGUUAUCUAAAUAUGUGAGAACGUCAAAUGAACUGCACAUGGAUGAAUUAGCCUGCACCAACCUUGAAAUGUAUACAAGGAAUUUUUUAGGGCAGCAGCAAUUAUUGUAAUAAAUUGCUCUUGAAUGAAAUUUAAAGAUUGUUCUUAUGUCUAUAUCCUUGAAGAAAAAGGACAGGGUGGCAAUCUGUUUUGAGGUGUAGAAAAUUCUGGGUCUGAUAGUUUAAUAGCUUUAGAAAGUCAGUAAAUCUUUGAGUAUGGCUUUCAAACAGGAAAAAAUAAAAGUUCUGCAAAUUUUAAUAGCUAAAUUAUUAGAAAAUUAUUUUUGUUUAUGCUGACUAUAAAUUUUAGAAAUUUAUUUCAAAAAUAAAUAUAGCAUGGUAUGUAAUUUACUUGGUGAGAAGCCACCUGCACCAAUGACUAAUUGUUCAUCAGCAUGCACUUAAGCUAAUAACAAAGUGAGGGGAACUGAAUUUUCCCUACUUAAGAAUAACAAUGAGGUUGAUUGAUGGAUUAUUUACCCUGUCUGCAGUUCUGGCAUCCAUCUGAACAUGGUAUGCAGUCUUCAGAGUCAGGAUCUUCGACUUCACCUGUGUUUUGCAAAUCAUCAGUUUAAUUCUAGAUAAUGCAACAUUUGGA